RNAcentral lists this ribosomal RNA (908 nucleotides) under Vibrio parahaemolyticus. RNAcentral's name for it is "partial 23S ribosomal RNA". It matches the Rfam family "Bacterial large subunit ribosomal RNA", at positions 592 to 1508 of the family's 2925-position model. The record is from RNAcentral. Lineage: Bacteria; Pseudomonadati; Pseudomonadota; Gammaproteobacteria; Vibrionales; Vibrionaceae.
UGUGACUGCGUACCUUUUGUAUAAUGGGUCAGCGACUUAUAUUCAGUGGCAAGGUUAACCAUCUAGGGGAGCCGUAGGGAAACCGAGUCUUAACUGGGCGUUCAGUCUCUGGAUAUAGACCCGAAACCAGGUGAUCUAGCCAUGGGCAGGUUGAAGGUUGAGUAACAUCAACUGGAGGACCGAACCGACUAAUGUUGAAAAAUUAGCGGAUGACUUGUGGCUAGGGGUGAAAGGCCAAUCAAACCUGGAGAUAGCUGGUUCUCCCCGAAAGCUAUUUAGGUAGCGCCUCGGACGAAUACUACUGGGGGUAGAGCACUGUUAAGGCUAGGGGGUCAUCCCGACUUACCAACCCUUUGCAAACUCCGAAUACCAGUAAGUACUAUCCGGGAGACACACGGCGGGUGCUAACGUCCGUCGUGGAGAGGGAAACAACCCAGACCGCCAGCUAAGGUCCCAAAUUACUACUAAGUGGGAAACGAUGUGGGAAGGCUCAGACAGCCAGGAUGUUGGCUUAGAAGCAGCCAUCAUUUAAAGAAAGCGUAAUAGCUCACUGGUCGAGUCGGCCUGCGCGGAAGAUGUAACGGGGCUAAGUAGUAAACCGAAGCUGCGGCAAUGUGCUUUUGCACAUUGGGUAGGGGAGCGUUCUGUAAGCGGUUGAAGGUGUGUGGUAACGCAUGCUGGACGUAUCAGAAGUGCGAAUGCUGACAUGAGUAACGAUAAAGGGGGUGAAAAACCUCCUCGCCGGAAGACCAAGGGUUCCUGUCCAACGUUAAUCGGGGCAGGGUAAGUCGACCCCUAAGGCGAGGCCGAAAGGCGUAGUCGAUGGGAAACGGGUUAAUAUUCCCGUACUUCUUACAAUUGCGAUGGGGGGACGGAGAAGGCUAGGUGGGCCUGGCGACGGUUGUCCA